GGUGACCUGCGGAGGGAUCAUUACUGAGUUUUUAACUCUCCAAACCAUGUGAACUUACCACUGUUGCCUCGGUGGUCGGUGCUGGAAACAGUGCUGCCACCGGUGGACUACUAAACUCUUGUUAAUUUUUGUCAAAUCUGAAUCAAACUAAGAAAUAAGUUAAAACUUUCAACAACGGAUCUCUUGGUUCUGGCAUCGAUGAAGAACGCAGCGAAAUGCGAUAAGUAAUGUGAAUUGCAGAAUUCAGUGAAUCAUCGAAUCUUUGAACGCACAUUGCGCCCAUUAGUAUUCUAGUGGGCAUGCCUGUUCGAGCGUCAUUUCAACCCUUAAGCCUAGCUUAGUGUUGGGAGACUGCCUAAUACGCAGCUCCUCAAAACCAGUGGCGGAGUCUGUUCGUGCUCUGAGCGUAGUAAUUUUUUAUCUCGCUUCUGCAAGCCGGCCAGACGACAGCCAUAAACCGCACCCUCUCGGGGGGCACUUUUUUAAUGGUUGACCUCGGAUCAGGUAGGAAUACCCGCUGAACUUAAGCAUAUCAAUAAGCGGAGGAAAAG
RNAcentral lists this ribosomal RNA (551 nucleotides) under fungal sp. RNAcentral describes it as "eukaryotic LSU rRNA". The stretch from base 164 to 317 matches the Rfam family "5.8S ribosomal RNA". The record is from RNAcentral. Lineage: Eukaryota; Fungi.